CACGUAGUUAGCCGUGACUUUCUGGUUGAUUACCGUCAAAUAAAGGCCAGUUACUACCUCUAUCCUUCUUCACUAACAACAGAGCUUUACGAUCCGAAAAUCUUCUUCACUCACGCGGCGUUGCUCCAUCAGACUUGCGUCCAUUGUGGAAGAUUCCCUACUGCUGCCUCCCGUAGGAGUUUGGGCCGUGUCUCAGUCCCAAUGUGGCCGAUCAGUCUCUCAACUCGGCUAUGCAUCGUCGCCUUGGUAAGCCGUUACCUUACCAACUAGCUAAUGCACCGCGGGGCCAUCCCUUAGCGACAGCUUACGCCGCCUUUCAAAAGCUGAUCAUGCGAUCUGCUUUAUUAUCCGGUAUUAGCACCUGUUUCCAAAUGGUAUCCCAGACUUAGGGGCAGGUUCCCCACGUGUUACUCACCCAUCCGCCGCUCGCUUUCCCAACGUCAUUACCGAAGUAAAUCUGUUGGUUCCGCUCGCUCGACUUGCAUGUAUUAGGCACGCCGCC
Molecule: ribosomal RNA, 502 nt
Filed under: uncultured Lactobacillus sp.
Lineage: Bacteria; Bacillati; Bacillota; Bacilli; Lactobacillales; Lactobacillaceae
Description: partial 16S ribosomal RNA
Source: RNAcentral